This is a long non-coding RNA of Mercenaria mercenaria, 1141 nucleotides long. RefSeq lists it as uncharacterized. The record is from RefSeq and is a predicted model, not a curated record. NCBI's taxonomy places the organism in Eukaryota, Metazoa, Mollusca, Bivalvia, Venerida, Veneridae. The transcript is spliced from 3 exons.
CUUUAGUGUUGUUAUUAUAUAGCAGUAAUUUACUAAUUUCAGACAGAAACAAUGUAGAUGGGGUGGCUAUACAACAUGUUGUGACUCGUGUUGUCAGUAUGACUGCUGCGGUGAAACCUAUAGCGACAGUAGCUGUAAUAACAGUUCAGUGACCUUGAUACUGAUUCUCUGCACGGUUCUUAUGUUUAUUCUCGUUUUGGUGGUGUGUAUAUUCCGCUGCUAUAUGUGCGCGCAGCGGCUGAAUGACUUGUCUCAACCGGAAGUAGUAUCGGUCCGCAGAACAAUUAGAGUGCGAGUAGGCGUCAACCAGCAAAGUACGUCUUCGUCAGCGCCGAGAGUUAAAGACGAGUAUGACCCGCCUCCAUCGUACGGUAGUGUUAUUCGGAGCCAGUACUAAUACAAACUCAUCUUGCAAUAAAACUGCACCUACCGGCGAAUAUUUUUAAUUGUUGCUAAAUUUUCAGAUAUGCAGAAAGUUUUUGAGACUUUGGAAAUGCGAGAUUUUCCAAACAAAAUAUUGUUUACAAAUUUUAAAAUUUACAACUACUGAGACUUUAUAGGACAAGCUGAAAAAUAUAAAUAGGGUGAUUAUAAUAGCAGCUCGGUCUGGGAUGUUGUAUUCGGCUCUAGUGGAUUUUUGCCAGAUCGGAUAUCACGACCUUGCAAAUUCCACGCGAGCCAAAUACACAAAAUCCCAGAUCUAGCUACUGUUAGUGAUGAUGUUUUACAGAUGGCUAUGUUGAAGCAAAACUAAAAAAAUAUGAUAGUUUUAACAGCCAAAGGGUAGAUGAGCUCGAUAAAUAUUUUAAUACGGAAGAAGUUGAACGAGUAUUUCAUCGCUUAAUUAAAAGGGAUAAAAGUGGUGCAAAUGAUUGACUCACACCUGAAAUAUUUUAAGAAUGUAAACAAUUAUUGACACCCGUUCUUUGCGAACUUGUUAACUUUAAGUAUUUUAUCCGCUAAGCUGGACACAUUGAAUCAUUGUACCUGUACCAAAAAAAGGGUGACCUUAAAAUGUUAAUAACUACAGGGGUAUUACUCUCACUAGUACAUUUUUCAAAAAUAUUUUCAAUUUUGUUAGAUAACAGGCUACGCAAGUGGGUGAAAAAUAAUGACCUUUUAUCAGAUGUUCAAUUUGGAU